ACCAGGAUGACUGAGUGGUUAAGGUGUUGGACUUAAGCUCUAAUGGGCAAAUGCCCUCAUGGGUUCAAGUCCCACUCCUGGUA
Molecule: non-coding RNA, 83 nt
Organism: Neoarius graeffei (lesser salmon catfish)
Lineage: Eukaryota; Metazoa; Chordata; Actinopteri; Siluriformes; Ariidae
Source: the annotation of a RefSeq genome assembly